Molecule: non-coding RNA, 123 nt
Organism: Gossypium raimondii (Peruvian cotton)
Lineage: Eukaryota; Viridiplantae; Streptophyta; Magnoliopsida; Malvales; Malvaceae
Source: Rfam
AAUAGGAGAAUGAUAAAUCAGAUUUUUCUUCUUCCUUUUCAGUUUUUUUCUCCUGAAAAAAAUCAAAUCUAACUAAAAAUGGUAGAAAUUAGAAGGAAAAAUCUGAUUUAUCAUUCUCCAAUU